UACGUAGGUGACAAGCGUUGUCCGGAUUUACUGGGCGUAAAGAGCGCGCAGGCGGUCGAUCAAGUCGAGUGUGAAAGCCCCCGGCUCAACUGGGGAGGGUCAUUCGAUACUGAUCGACUCGAAGGCAGGAGAGGGUAGUGGAAUUCCCGGUGUAGUGGUGAAAUGCGUAGAUAUCAGGAAGAACACCCGUGGCGAAGGCGGUUCUCUGGGACGGUACUGACGCUGAGACGCGAAAGCGUGGGGAGCGAACAGG
This 253-nucleotide ribosomal RNA is filed under the name uncultured bacterium. RNAcentral describes it as "partial 16S ribosomal RNA". It matches the Rfam family "Bacterial small subunit ribosomal RNA", at positions 524 to 776 of the family's 1533-position model. The record is from RNAcentral.